GGUGGUUCCUCCCUCCUUCCCGCCCGGAGGCGGGCAGUGCUGACGGCUCGUACUGACGCAGGCCCCUGCGUGUGGGCGGCUGCCUGAUCCAGGGUCAAGCACCUCGGCUUAUCCACCAUCUCUGCACUCCAGGGCAGCUCUGUCUCCAGUCCCACCACGCAAGACUUGCCUUCCUUGACAUCUGACAACAUUCAUGUCACCCCAUAAUUCAUAAGGAUCAUCCCAUUCAUCAUCCUAAAGCCUGGAGGUAGGGCACUCCAUAUCAUCACUGAGGCUCAGAGAGGGUGGACUGGGCCGGAAGAUUUCCAAGGCAGUUUCACCUCCAUCCCUUCUGCUUCAAGGGAAGAGAUAAUGAAGAGCUAGAGCUCCUUCUUGCAUGUCAUCAGGGCCACGGGAUGGGACAGGAAUACUCCUUUUCAUACUGAAAUUCUGGGGGCCCCACAGCUAGACAAGAAUGAAACUGUGCUGGGACUUCCCUGGUGGCCCAGUGGUUAAGAU
Long non-coding RNA from Bos taurus (domestic cattle), 498 nucleotides. Lineage: Eukaryota; Metazoa; Chordata; Mammalia; Artiodactyla; Bovidae. The record is from Ensembl.